Molecule: ribosomal RNA, 448 nt
Filed under: uncultured organism
Description: partial 16S ribosomal RNA
Rfam family: Bacterial small subunit ribosomal RNA
Source: RNAcentral
CACUCCUGCGGGAGGCAGCAGUGGGGAAUAUUGGACAAUGGGCGCAAGCCUGAUCCAGCCACGCCGCGUGAGUGAUGAAGGCCCUAGGGUUGUAAAGCUCUUUCACCGGUGAAGAUAAUGACGGUAACCGGAGAAGAAGCCCCGGCUAACUUCGUGCCAGCAGCCGCGGUAAUACGAAGGGGGCUAGCGUUGUUCGGAUUUACUGGGCGUAAAGCGCACGUAGGCGGACUAUUAAGUCAGGGGUGAAAUCCCGGGGCUCAACCCCGGAACUGCCUUUGAUACUGGUAGUCUUGAGUUCGAGAGAGGUGAGUGGAAUUCCGAGUGUAGAGGUGAAAUUCGUAGAUAUUCGGAGGAACACCAGUGGCGAAGGCGGCUCACUGGCUCGAUACUGACGCUGAGGUGCGAAAGCGUGGGGAGCAAACAGGAUUAGAUACCCCUGUAGUCCCAU